GUGAUGUAGGGUAGUAUCCUGCAAGUCUUA
This 30-nucleotide transfer RNA is filed under the name Uperoleia saxatilis (Pilbara toadlet). Its description in RNAcentral is "partial tRNA-Ala". Lineage: Eukaryota; Metazoa; Chordata; Amphibia; Anura; Myobatrachidae. The record is from RNAcentral.